AGAGUUUGAUCAUGGCUCAGAUUGAACGCUGGCGGCAGGCCUAACACAUGCAAGUCGAGCGGUAGCACAGAGAGCUUGCUCUCGGGUGACGAGCGGCGGACGGGUGAGUAAUGUCUGGGAAACUGCCUGAUGGAGGGGGAUAACUACUGGAAACGGUAGCUAAUACCGCAUAACGUCGCAAGACCAAAGUGGGGGACCUUCGGGCCUCAUGCCAUCAGAUGUGCCCAGAUGGGAUUAGCUAGUAGGUGGGGUAACGGCUCACCUAGGCGACGAUCCCUAGCUGGUCUGAGAGGAUGACCAGCCACACUGGAACUGAGACACGGUCCAGACUCCUACGGGAGGCAGCAGUGGGGAAUAUUGCACAAUGGGCGCAAGCCUGAUGCAGCCAUGCCGCGUGUGUGAAGAAGGCCUUCGGGUUGUAAAGCACUUUCAGCGGGGAGGAAGGCGGUGAGGUUAAUAACCUCAUCGAUUGACGUUACCCGCAGAAGAAGCACCGGCUAACUCCGUGCCAGCAGCCGCGGUAAUACGGAGGGUGCAAGCGUUAAUCGGAAUUACUGGGCGUAAAGCGCACGCAGGCGGUCUGUCAAGUCGGAUGUGAAAUCCCCGGGCUCAACCUGGGAACUGCAUUCGAAACUGGCAGGCUAGAGUCUUGUAGAGGGGGGUAGAAUUCCAGGUGUAGCGGUGAAAUGCGUAGAGAUCUGGAGGAAUACCGGUGGCGAAGGCGGCCCCCUGGACAAAGACUGACGCUCAGGUGCGAAAGCGUGGGGAGCAAACAGGAUUAGAUACCCUGGUAGUCCACGCCGUAAACGAUGUCGAUUUGGAGGUUGUGCCCUUGAGGUGUGGCUUCCGGAGCUAACGCGUUAAAUCGACCGCCUGGGGAGUACGGCCGCAAGGUUAAAACUCAAAUGAAUUGACGGGGCCCGCACAAGCGGUGGAGCAUGUGGUUUAAUUCGAUGCAACGCGAAGAACCUUACCUGGUCUUGACAUCCACAGAACUUUCCAGAGAUGGAUUGGUGCCUUCGGGAACUGUGAGACAGGUGCUGCAUGGCUGUCGUCAGCUCGUGUUGUGAAAUGUUGGGUUAAGUCCCGCAACGAGCGCAACCCUUAUCCUUUGUUGCCAGCGGUUCGGCCGGGAACUCAAAGGAGACUGCCAGUGAUAAACUGGAGGAAGGUGGGGAUGACGUCAAGUCAUCAUGGCCCUUACGACCAGGGCUACACACGUGCUACAAUGGCAUAUACAAAGAGAAGCGACCUCGCGAGAGCAAGCGGACCUCAUAAAGUAUGUCGUAGUCCGGAUUGGAGUCUGCAACUCGACUCCAUGAAGUCGGAAUCGCUAGUAAUCGUAGAUCAGAAUGCUACGGUGAAUACGUUCCCGGGCCUUGUACACACCGCCCGUCACACCAUGGGAGUGGGUUGCAAAAGAAGUAGGUAGCUUAACCUUCGGGAGGGCGCUUACCACUUUGUGAUUCAUGACUGGGGUGAAGUCGUAACAAGGUAACCGUAGGGGAACCUGCGGUUGGAUCACCU
RNAcentral lists this ribosomal RNA (1527 nucleotides) under Klebsiella pneumoniae subsp. ozaenae. Its description in RNAcentral is "bacterial SSU rRNA". It matches the Rfam family "Bacterial small subunit ribosomal RNA". Lineage: Bacteria; Pseudomonadati; Pseudomonadota; Gammaproteobacteria; Enterobacterales; Enterobacteriaceae. The record is from RNAcentral.